CCCUAGUGUGUUCUGUUUGCUCCUGCCUACUUGCCAUUGCCUUCCUCGUCACUCUGCCUCCAGUCAGCUGGCUCCUCCAUCCAGUUCCCCCUCACGGUUUCCUGCACCAGCCUGCCUCAGCCCUCGCCUCUCCGCGCUCCAGUACUUCCCUGUCGAGUUCUCAGACCCGGUCUCCCCGUGCCUCUGUUCCCGGUUCCAGCCCCCGUGCCUGUGCUCCCCUCUCUGGCAUCCACCUCCCCACUUCCCCAUUCACUUUCCCACUUUUCCUAAUAAAGUGAUUUGUGCUGA
This is a long non-coding RNA of Perca flavescens (yellow perch), 288 nucleotides long. RefSeq lists it as uncharacterized. NCBI's taxonomy places the organism in Eukaryota, Metazoa, Chordata, Actinopteri, Perciformes, Percidae. The transcript has 2 exons. The record is from RefSeq and is a predicted model, not a curated record.